GGGGAUGUAGCUCAGUGGAGGAGCGCUUGCCUAGUAUGCACAGAGCCCUGGGUUCAAUUUGCAGUACCCCAA
Molecule: transfer RNA, 72 nt
Filed under: Marmota monax (woodchuck)
Lineage: Eukaryota; Metazoa; Chordata; Mammalia; Rodentia; Sciuridae
Description: tRNA.Thr
Source: RNAcentral